This 683-nucleotide ribosomal RNA is filed under the name Neosarcodon atroviridis. Its description in RNAcentral is "eukaryotic LSU rRNA". The stretch from base 286 to 439 matches the Rfam family "5.8S ribosomal RNA". Lineage: Eukaryota; Fungi; Basidiomycota; Agaricomycetes; Thelephorales; Thelephoraceae. The record is from RNAcentral.
AUUCUUGGUCAUUUAGAGGAAGUAAAAGUCGUAACAAGGUUUCCGUAGGUGAACCUGCGGAAGGAUCAUUAAUGGAAAAUAUUUACAUUGUAUGUGAAGGGUUGUAGCUAGCCUCUUUAGGAAUUGUGCACACCUGGAUCAUCAUGUAAUAACCAUUUAAUACUUUUAUUACCCUUGUGCACAACCUGUAGCUUGACCAUUUUAACAAAAUUGGUUUGAGUUAUGAAUGCUUUUCAAUUUACACAUUUUGAAGUUUGGGGUCAUUAUAUUAGAAUAAUAUAUAAUAACUUUCAGCAAUGGAUCUCUUGGCUCUUGCAUCGAUGAAGAACGCAGCGAAAUGCGAUAAGUAAUGUGAAUUGCAGAAUUCAGUGAAUCAUCGAAUCUUUGAACGCAUCUUGCACUCCUUGGUAUUCUGAGGAGUAUGCCUGUUUGAGUGUCAUAAAUUUAUCAACUACUUUGAUUUUAUCAAAGUGAAGUUGGACUAUGGAGGGUUUUAAUGCAGACAAAGCUUUUGCCUGCUCCUCCAAAAUAUAUUAUCUUGAGGCAAAUUCUCAUCAUCAAUGUGAUAAAUUUACAACAUUGUUUGAUAGUCUAUACAUACCCAAGUUUCAUAGAAAUAUAAAAUUUGACCUCAAAUCAGGUAGGACUACCCGCUGAACUUAAGCAUAUCAAUAAGCGGAGGA